CAACUUCCUAACCCGUAUGUCUUUGGAAUGUGGGAGGAAACCAGAGCACCCGGAGGAAACCCAUGCAGACAUGGGGAAAGCUGGGAACUGCACAGAGAAUCCUCUGUUUUUCCUGUGGAAUUUCUGCUUCAUCAGCUCAUUUUAUCUGCUUCUAUCAGGAACGAUCAGAUGUGAAGCAACAGGCUGGUGUUCAUCAUUUAGAUUCUCUGUAAUGACAUUGUUCAUGGGUGGACGUGGUCCCUUGGUCUGCCUGUGAGCGUGUGAAGAAGGUAGAAGAUACAGGAGCCUGAGGGCACAUACCACUGGGCUUAAGGACAGCUUCUACCCGACUGUAAUAAGACUACUGAACAGUUCCCGUAUACGAUGAGAUGGACUCUGAGCUCAUGAUCUACCUUGUUGUGACCUUGCACUUUAUUGCUCCGCACUUUCUCUGUAGCUGUGACACUUUACUCUGUGAUGUCAUUGUUUUACCUGUAAUACCUCAAUGCAUUCUGUACUAACUAAAUGUAACUGCACUGUGUAAUGAAUUGACCUGUAUGCAAGACAAGUUUUUCACUGUACCUCGGUACAA
Long non-coding RNA from Pristis pectinata (smalltooth sawfish), 571 nucleotides. RefSeq lists it as uncharacterized. The transcript has 3 exons. Lineage: Eukaryota; Metazoa; Chordata; Chondrichthyes; Rhinopristiformes; Pristidae. The record is from RefSeq and is a predicted model, not a curated record.